CACCGACAGGAGGAAAGUGGGUCGUUACUGCACGAGAUGGCAUGGCGGCGUGCCGGCCGGCCGGCCGCAGAUCCUGCUCGAGUGAUUUGUCUCACGGUUGAUCUUGGGAAUGUGGUGUACUCCAUGUCCGCCCACAUCGUCGUCAGUCCUUGCAUCAAGGAGGAGAGCGUGUGCUUGAUCUGAUCCAUGAUUUAUAUUGGAUGAAAAGUUCGUGGAAGUCACAGGAUGGAUCAGCUAGCUGCAAGAAGGACCUCAUUUUAAUCCUAAUAAUAAGUCACAUGAAGUACCGGUGGAUGAUGACAUGACAUGUGGGUGACCGGCGAAGCAUACAAGCCAACAAAGAUGGCAUUGCAGAAGUUUGAUGAAGGACUUAUAGGUUCCGUUGGCUUGAAGGAUAAUAUAUCAUUUGACCAUCUUGGUAUAAUAAUUGUUGUAUUGGUAUUCGUUUCUCUUCUUGCAUGAAGAUUUCAUUAAGCUGACCUCACUCCAUACUGGGAAGGACAGUUCUUGUUCAUGAUGAUUCUAAUGAUCUAGGAAAGGGUAAGGGUGGUUCCAUCUCGCCUCCAAUCCACCGUCGUCCCUACAGAAGGUGUUUUUUUUUCUUGAUGUGCUAUGUUUAUUUAUACCCUGAUUUCUUUUUGGCCCCUCUAAAUAAACUUACAGCAGUGGGCUUAGUUCUGCAUGCAAUUGAUGGUGCGGGUGAUUCUUCUUAGAUCCUAAAAACAUCUCUGUAUAAAGUGGCUGCUAAUCUUGUGCCCGGAAUUGUGAUUUCCAAAAAACAUGUUGUUUUUACUGUGUUAAUUUUUAUAGUUGUUCAAGAAUCAAGAUGAGUUAUUUGCUACAUCAAAGAUUGUGAUGUCAUUGGGCACCAACGGAGGCGGACUGCAUCGAGGCGGGCUGUGUGCCGCUGCUCGAUGCCUAGAAAUCAAUUCGGCUGCGUUCAGGCAAAAUGGCUUCCAUUCAAGCUAGCUUUCCGAGGAAGCUUCUCAGAAGGUCCUUGGAUGGGGGAGGUUAACUUCAUCAUUCUUUCCCUUCAGUAGUUUUCACGAGCAGGACAAUUUUCGAUAAAAGUGAACAGGCUGAUUUCUUGACAAACAGAUGAAGGCCAGGCUACUAUUUA
Lolium perenne is the source of this 1120-nucleotide long non-coding RNA. RefSeq lists it as uncharacterized. NCBI's taxonomy places the organism in Eukaryota, Viridiplantae, Streptophyta, Magnoliopsida, Poales, Poaceae. The record is from RefSeq and is a predicted model, not a curated record.